This is a long non-coding RNA of Oncorhynchus keta (chum salmon), 417 nucleotides long. RefSeq lists it as uncharacterized. The record is from RefSeq and is a predicted model, not a curated record. Lineage: Eukaryota; Metazoa; Chordata; Actinopteri; Salmoniformes; Salmonidae. The transcript is spliced from 4 exons.
UGACGUGAACGCAGCAACCUUGAAUUAUAGGGAGGUGCACUUAAGUUUCACCCCUGCUAUGUUCCCCUGACGUGAACGCAGCAACCUUGAAUUAUAGGGAGGUGCACUUAAGUUUCACCCCUGCUAUGUUCCCCUGACGUGAACGCAGCAACCUUGAAUUAUAGGGAGGUGCACUUAAGUUUCACCCCUGCUAUGUUCCCCUGACGUGAACGCAGCAACCUUGAAUUAUAGGGAGGUGCACUUAAGUUUCACCCCUGCUAUGUUCCCCUGACGUGAACGCAGCAACCUUGAAUUAUAGGGAGGUGCACUUAAGUUUCACCCCUGCUAUGUUCCCCUGACGUGAACGCAGCAACCUUGAAUUAUAGGGAGGUGCACUUAAGUUUCACCCCUGCUAUGUUCCCCUGACGUGAACGCAGC